Molecule: long non-coding RNA, 1707 nt
Organism: Poecilia reticulata (guppy)
Lineage: Eukaryota; Metazoa; Chordata; Actinopteri; Cyprinodontiformes; Poeciliidae
Source: RefSeq, a predicted model, not a curated record
CCACCACCACCUCCCCACCUCUCUCUGCUUCUUGCUGGGCCAUUGAGCUCAGAGAACUGGCACUGGACAGACCAGGACAUGACAAGACAAGACAGCUCUGGCAGUCGAGCCCUCUGAGGAUUUCGACUGCAGAAGGAGUUCUGGAGCCCCCUCCGUCACUCAGACAGCCGGGCGGGUUUCUUGUCAGUUAUUAGCCAGAUUUUAGUUUGUCAGCCAGUAAAUCAGUCACUGGGGUCUCUUCCACUCUGUGAAUAUCCUCAUUUGAACUCUUAUGUGACUCAGACGCCGUCCUGGACCACCAGAGGACCGCCAGAGGGUACGGUCACAGGUGUUCCACAGCUGCUGUGAAAAAGAAGCAUCUGGAGUCCAAAAACAAUGUAACAGUGCGGAGGGCGGUAAAGGGCAGAGAGGUGGAGACCGGGCCCCUGGUCUCGCUGUUUUAGGGGAGGGUUCCUGGCACCGUGAUUUGAUGCACAAAGAGAAACAAAAAUCACAUUGCCAGGGAUUUCCACUCCUUCACAGCUCAGCAGGACGUCUGUCCCGACCUCACAUUUCCACCCAGGGACUCAUUUUGAGGCCCGAUUCUGGAGCAAUGGAGGAAUUAAACCAAAACGCUAUCAACCCAUCUCUGCAGACCUCUAAAAGAUUAAGUUGUGUCUGUGUGUAUUUAAGGCUGCAGCUGUUUGAAAUUUAAACUAUCCUCACCACUCUGUGCUCUAAUGUGCCAGGAAAUGGAUGUAAAUGCAAGCCAGAGCCACACAGGAGAAGGUUUAUAUUUCAAAUGUUGGAUUUUAGGGUUUAUAAACAAGAAAUUUAUUUGGAGAGCUAAGAUAAAAGUGGAGAUCCCUCCACUGCGCCCUCUGAACACUCUGCAGAAUCUGAAACCACUGACUUCACUGCCGACGUCUCACGUAAAGGUCUACAUAAAUCUCAGCCAGCCGCCCACUUGCUAAAGGCACAGAGCUUAGCUAAUUGGUGAGCAUUGAUCCCUGCAAUGUGUUGUUCACAGUGGCUAAGUUCAGUGCCCGAGGUGAAAUAGUUGAUUCAACGUGGAGGAUUUGUUCCGGUGGAUGGACUGAACUUGAUGAUCUCGGAUAAGCUGAAAGAAGAAGAGAAGGAGGAGUGAGAGGUCAGGAGGAGAUGAAAUGACGUGUACGGAGGAUAAGGUCACGAUUAUGGCCUGACGUGUGAUUUUUGAGCUUGUUGUGCAUGAAAGAAACUUAUGUCAUUAGAUCAGAUUAUUCUCAUAAACCGACCCAAAAAUCUGACCAUGUGACCCAUGUACAAUAAUUUAAAAUGCUAUAGGAACUUUACGCAAUUGGAAAAAAAUUUGAAGCAACCUCAUGACGUCUCUUCUGAUUUUAUGCCUGCAUUAACAGCAUUCAAACCUGGCAAAAAAAAAAAAAAAAAUCUUAAAUAUAUAUCUUCAUAAAUUGAAUAGAGUGUCCUUACUAAUUGAGAGCUUAAACGUUUAUUGUGACUGGAUAAGUCACUGCUUCUUCCUGCUCCUCUUCAAACAUAUUUUGUUUUUGAUUUUACAAAUUGUUUAUUUAUUUGUUGCUUUUUUUUUUUGCCUGCAUUUGUUUUACUGACGUUUUUAAGGAGGGAAGGAAGGAAAUACCAAUCCACUUCAAGAAAGAGACAAGUUGUAAUUGUAUUUAAGGCAGUUUUACUUUUCAAUUUAUAAAAAAAAUUAUCACAUUUUUA